This 699-nucleotide long non-coding RNA is filed under the name Olea europaea subsp. europaea. The record is from RNAcentral. Lineage: Eukaryota; Viridiplantae; Streptophyta; Magnoliopsida; Lamiales; Oleaceae.
CCCCCCUCCAACUUCACCCCUAACUCAAAUCCAAAACCACACCAUCAUCGCCGUCGGAAAUUUACAACGUUUUUCAAUUUUUUUUGGAGAAAACUAGCUGAACUGUAAUCCAUUACAUUUAUACCAAGAAAUCUUGGAAAAAUGUGGAAUCUUGCAAAGACCCAUUAUGGUUUCUUGAGUUAUAGUGAGAUUUCUUGAUUUUUCUUGUAGGUUUGCGCAUGGUGAUGAUAGAAGGGCUUCUAGGUAAGUUUAUUUUGUUUUGAAAGUACAAUUUGAGAGGUGAAUUUCCAUUUUUUAUUCUAUAUGUAUGUGUAUGUACUUUCUUGGUUUUGAAGAUGGUGGCUGCUGUUUCUAAAAACCCCAAAAUCAUAUCUUCAAAAAGACAUCCAUUAUUGUCUUCCGAAAAAGAUGAUUGUAAUGGGGUUUCAAACAAUCUCAGGAGGCCCAAAUCUAGAAUUUUUUCUUCAAGAUACAUGUCCCCUUCAAGUUCUAUUUCCACUUCGUAAUCCUCUUCAGUUUCCUCUUCUUCAAGAAGGUAUCCCUCUCCUAUAGUUUCAAGAAACUUGACCUCGGCAUCAAAGAUUUUGGAUUUGAGCAGUGUGAGGAAGGGUACUCCAAAGAGGAAGAAGACGGCGGUGGCACUCUAUUGACAAGAAAGGGUGACAGGGGAGGAGUUCUCGGCGACAACGAUGGUGGGUG